RNAcentral lists this long non-coding RNA (739 nucleotides) under Toxoplasma gondii VEG. The record is from RNAcentral. Lineage: Eukaryota; Apicomplexa; Conoidasida; Eucoccidiorida; Sarcocystidae.
ACGGAAACACAGCAGCAAGCCCCACAUUUUCUCACAGACUCAGCACUUUGUUCCCAAAAGUGUGCUGGCCAAUGUCCGUCAACUUGAGCGGCCUGCAGAGAACGCUGCUCGCGUUGUUCUGUCGCUGAUGCCUGUAGCAGUUAGUCUUACGUCUCAGAACGCGUGCUGGGACACACGAUGUUUCCUCAGCUAGAAAAACCGCGUAAGUGACAAAGGUGAUGUGGACCCUUUAAAAACCCAACAGACUGUUGGUAAGCGAACAGCCCUGUUCUGGGCCCUCGAAGAAACCAAAAAAUGGCGGUAGUGGCAACAUGGCGCAAGUGCGUAAUGUCAGGAGGGUACCUCCAGUCACGUGUACAUAUACGGCAGUGUUCCACACCGCCUACCAGUCGAUCGCUAUAUGAAGUGACGAAUCUAGGAAGUGGCAAUAUGGAAAGAGUGCAGCUAGUGUAGCAGUCUGUCUUCAGAACAGCAAACUUCCGCUGUGUCAUACCAUCACCGGUUUAAAGCAACGAUUCACCCAGUGGAAAUCAGUGUUAACAGCCGGUUUCUCUUGUACAUUUGUCGACUUGCGACAGGGGAGGAAGACUGAUGUGUACGACGUCCUCAAAGGACGCUUUGAAAGAAUGCGUCUCUAGGGUGCAGUCCUGCCGAAAAUGUCUUGUCGUCACAAGAAGGUCGUCCAAAAAAGAGCCGGACAACGAGUAAACGAUGAGGUGGUUACGUGGUAGCUGCUGGC